CCUACGGGAGGCAGCAGUGAGGAAUAUUGGUCAAUGGACGGAAGUCUGAACCAGCCAUGCCGCGUGCAUGAAGACGGCCCUCUGGGUUGUAAACUGCUUUUGUACAAGGGUAAACCUGAAUACGUGUAUUCAGCUGACAGUACUGUACGAAUAAGGAUCGGCUAACUCCGUGCCAGCAGCCGCGGUAAUACGGAGGAUCCAAGCUUUAUCCGGAUUUAUUGGGUUUAAAGGGUGCGUAGGCGGAUUGAUAAGUUAGAUGUGAAAUGUCCGAGCUUAACUCGGGAAUUGCAUUUAAUACUGUUGAUCGAGCGUGUAGAUGCGGUAGGCGGAAUGCAUGGUGUAGCGGUGAAAUGCUUAGAGAUCAUACAGAACACCGAGGGCGAAGGCAGCUUACCAAGCUAUAUCUGACGUUGAGGCACGAAAGCGUGGGGAGCAAACAGGAUUAGAUACCCUAGUAGUC
Molecule: ribosomal RNA, 460 nt
Filed under: uncultured bacterium
Lineage: Bacteria
Description: partial 16S ribosomal RNA
Rfam family: Bacterial small subunit ribosomal RNA
Source: RNAcentral